This 519-nucleotide ribosomal RNA is filed under the name uncultured bacterium. RNAcentral describes it as "bacterial SSU rRNA". It matches the Rfam family "Bacterial small subunit ribosomal RNA", at positions 8 to 518 of the family's 1533-position model. The record is from RNAcentral.
AGAGUUUGAUUCUGGCUCAGGAUGAACGCUAGCGGCAGGCUUAACACAUGCAAGUCGAGGGGCAGCGAGUCGGUAGCAAUACUGAUGUCGGCGACCGGCGCACGGGUGAGUAACGCGUAUGCAACCUUUCCCAGACAGGGGGAUAGCCCAGGGAAACUUGGAUUAAUACCCCCGUAGGCCACGGAUGGGCAUCCGUCUGUGGUUAAAGUUCCGGCGGUCUGGGGUGGGCAUGCGUGCCAUUAGGCAGUUGGUGGGGUAACGGCCCACCAAACCGACGAUGGCUACGGGGUCUAAAAGGAUGGUCCCGCACAUUGGAACUGAGACACGGUCCAAACUCCUACGGGAGGCAGCAGUGAGGAAUAUUGGUCAAUGGGGGGAACCCUGAACCAGCCAUGCCGCGUGGAGGAAGACGGCCCUACGGGUUGUAAACUCCUUUAGCACGGGAAUAAUCCGUCCCACGCGUGGGGCGUUGAAGGUACCGUGAGAAUAAGCAUCGGCUAACUCCGUGCCAGCCGCCGC